UGGUGAGAUAGUGGCUCACCAAGGCGACGAUGCAUAGCCGACCUGAGAGGGUGAUCGGCCACACUGGGACUGAGACACGGCCCAGACUCCUACGGGAGGCAGCAGUAGGGAAUCUUCCGCAAUGGACGCAAGUCUGACGGAGCAACGCCGCGUGAGUGAUGAAGGGUUUCGGCUCGUAAAACUCUGUUGUUAAGGAAGAACACUUGAGGUAGUAACUGGCCUUGAGAUGACGGUACUUAACCAGAAAGCCACGGCUAACUACGUGCCAGCAGCCGCGGUAAUACGUAGGUGGCAAGCGUUAUCCGGAAUUAUUGGGCGUAAAGCGCGCGUAGGCGGUAAAAUAAGUCUGAUGUGAAAGCCCCCGGCUCAACCGGGGAGGGUCAUUGGAAACUGUUUUACUUGAGUACAGAAGAGGAGAGUGGAAUUCCAUGUGUAGCGGUGAAAUGCGCAGAGAUAUGGAGGAACACCAGUGGCGAAGGCGGCUCUCUGGUCUGUAACUGACGCUGAGGUGCGAAAGCGUGGGGAUCAAACAGGAUUAGAUACCCUGGUAGUCCACGCCGUAAACGAUGAGUGCUAAGUGUUGGGGGGUUUCCGCCCCUCAGUGCUGCAGCUAA
RNAcentral lists this ribosomal RNA (614 nucleotides) under uncultured bacterium. RNAcentral's name for it is "bacterial SSU rRNA". It matches the Rfam family "Bacterial small subunit ribosomal RNA", at positions 250 to 855 of the family's 1533-position model. The record is from RNAcentral.